AUAUUAACACUCUCCUCCUCUCACUCCAGCGGCAGCCUCCACGGCUUUUCCUUCUCCCCACCAUUACUCCUCCAACUUCCUACUCUCGAGAAGUAUAAUCGAGGCUGUUAAACAUGAUAAUCAAAUAGCCCUCCUCUAUCUCCGAUUUUUUAAGAGGUAAAACAAUUGUAGAUGUUUCUGACGAGGACAGAGUAUGAUGGAUCUGUUGCUUGUAGUAACUGGGCUAAAGUUUAUUAUUCUGAGUUGAUUAAUUCUAUUCUUGAUGCCUAUAGAAAAGAAGCUGAAAACAAUAAUCUAUAUGGCUUAACUAAUUCAAGAGGUUCUGUUUUCUUCUUCUUGAGUAUGACUGUAGAAUCCCAUUUGGAUCAUUCCAUCACCUGGCAUGGUUCUUUAGUAUUUGAGUUGCAAGCUGAUGGGUAUUGCUGUCUUUCUUUAUUUCUUUAUUGCACAUAUCAUUUAGUAGCAAUAAUUGUUGAAGUAAUAGUGGUUAUUUUGCUUUAAUCUCUGAGGUUUUUGAUGAAUUUUAGUGUUUGGCAAAUUACCUCAAUAAAUACUUAUAAGUGGUUGUUUAUAUAACUGUUAUGUUUCGAUCUCUUUGAUGUAGUUGUACUUUGCGGGUGUUGGAGAUGGUGGAGUUGUGAUUUGUAAUAGUAAGGAGCAGGUAAUGGUGAUGGUGGUUGUAAUGAUUUUUUGUAGCAUGGAGUGGGUACUGGAGAUGGUGGUGGUUGUGAUUUGUAGGAAUUUGGGGUUUGUACGUAUGGGUUGGUACGAUAAUAUGGACAGUAGUUCCACUGGAGACGGUUGUUUCUUGAUGGACAAUACGUGUUGGCGUAUGAGUGGUGUUUGGUUAUUGUGUGCUGGUUGGCUCUCCAUGGCGAACGGCAAUCCCGAUUACCUCUUCAGUCCCGUCCCAUGUUUUCCUUCGGGAAACACCUGUUUGGUUCCUCUGUUGUCUGCCUAUCGAGAACUAUCAAUUUUGUCCCUCGCUUCUAUUGCCUCUCGCCUGCUCUUGGGUGGCGCGAGAUGGUUAGUGCGAUAACUCUGAUAAUUGUUUUAUAUAUCAAUUGUUUGUGCGCACCGUUAUACCAGGUAAUGUUAAAUUGAAGCAUGAAGUCUUCUUGUGGUUUUGUGUAAAUUGGUAGAGCGUUUGUGGUUAUACCAGACAGUUUGGUAUUAUUUUGGUGAAACUGUACUUUGUGAACAUGAUGCACGGAACUGAUAACGAGGAUAUCAAAUUGUCACUACCGAUGAGGCAUAUUAUUGUUAUUUGGGUGAAUUUUAUAGGAGUCCUUUAAGUCCAUGUCCCCAGAGUCAGUACUGUUCUUCUGUAUUUGGCAACUCAUAUUUUCAUUUGUUUGUUGUGUUCAUGUUCUUAAACCUAAUAUUGUUAGUACAUUUGAUAGGUUUGCUUUCACUUUGUAUAAAGUUAUGGUAGAUUCUCAUGCUUCGUUUAGUGGUAACAAUGUCUAUGGAGUUUCUGCUAGCAGAUUUGGAGAGCCUGAUGAUUGUAUUUAUAAGAACGGAGAUUUGAAGAAUGCUUUUUGUUGUAGCCUAACAAUCAGUUGUUGUGCUCCAAAAAGCAUAAAUGUAAUAAACAUUCCUACUCCAACAUGAUUGUAUGAAGGCUCUUCUAUUGCAUAUGCACCUCGUCUUAUAAGUCUGUGAAAUUGGCGAUAUAAGAUGGUUUGUUUUUCGUGGGGUUUCACUGUUGCAACUUUAAUUGGUGACCAUAGGGACUCGGGAUUCUAUGGAGGAUGUUUAGUGUAACUUCAGUUAAAUUCACUGCUUCCGGUUGAAAAUGAUGAUUGUUGUGUAGUAUGCUAGGAUUUCUGUACUUAGAUGCUCAUAAUGUUUAUGUUCGGUUGGUAAUCAUUCUUGGCAUCAUAGAGGAGUUCAAGUACAGACUAAGAUGGAUUCAGUGGUAAUCAUUCUUGGUAAUCAUUCUAGAAAUCAACUUCCAAAUGGGAUUCAGUGGCUAACUUAUAAUGGUGACUGGAUCUUAAACUAAGAUGUGUGUGCUGAACACGAAAGAAAUUCAAGACAAGGAGCAACUGUUGCAGUUAUUAUGGCUUUCCUCUGAUCUGUCGGAUGAAGAAGGCAUUGUUUCAUUUGUCUUUCAUGCAAGCAGCUCCAAGGUUUGUUAUGAAGAAAUUUUAAUGGUUGAAUACAGAUCAUCAACAUGAUUAGGCAGUCUUUUAUUUGUCUGGAGCUGAUAACGUCGGCCUUGCUAAUCCUCACAUGAUUAGUGAUGCUGUUAAUAUUCUUCUAGCUCAACCAGCUAACUAUGCCGAGCCAGGGAAUGAGGUGGUGAUUUCUGCCUCCAUAUUGUUUCAGCAACCAAAUUCCAUUUGUUUUUUCCUGGCAAAUUUCAACAAGAUGUGGAAUUAUGUUCAGUCUACUCGCAAGCAUGAUAUGGUUCUGAAUUAUGAAGUUAGAUGAGUUGAUUGAUUUGAAGUCUGGUUGGAAUGAAUUGAUGCUAAAUAGUAAAAUGCAUAAGAAAAAUGGUCCAAAUCUGUUGGAGUUAAUAGCUGCUUUUAUAACUGUUACAGGUUUUAUGUAAACAAUUUUGAACGUUCUUAAUUUGCAUAAUUAUGUUUGGUAUUA
Papaver somniferum (opium poppy) is the source of this 2604-nucleotide long non-coding RNA. RefSeq lists it as uncharacterized. The transcript is spliced from 3 exons. The record is from RefSeq and is a predicted model, not a curated record. NCBI's taxonomy places the organism in Eukaryota, Viridiplantae, Streptophyta, Magnoliopsida, Ranunculales, Papaveraceae.